AGGUUUGUAGCUCAUGCGAUAAGAGCGUACGCCUGAUAAGCGUGAGGUCGAUGGUUAAAGUCCAUCUAAGCCCACCA
Molecule: transfer RNA, 77 nt
Filed under: Thermoanaerobacterium sp. RBIITD
Lineage: Bacteria; Bacillati; Bacillota; Clostridia; Thermoanaerobacterales; Thermoanaerobacteraceae
Description: tRNA_Ile_GAT
Rfam family: tRNA
About the family: Transfer RNA (tRNA) molecules are approximately 80 nucleotides in length. Their secondary structure includes four short double-helical elements and three loops (D, anti-codon, and T loops). Further hydrogen bonds mediate the characteristic L-shaped molecular structure. tRNAs have two regions of fundamental functional importance: the anti-codon, which is responsible for specific mRNA codon recognition, and the 3' end, to which the tRNAs corresponding amino acid is attached (by aminoacyl-tRNA synthetases). tRNAs cope with the degeneracy of the genetic code in two manners: having more than one tRNA (with a specific anti-codon) for a particular amino acid; and 'wobble' base-pairing, i.e. permitting non-standard base-pairing at the 3rd anti-codon position.
Source: RNAcentral